Molecule: ribosomal RNA, 465 nt
Filed under: Vreelandella stevensii
Lineage: Bacteria; Pseudomonadati; Pseudomonadota; Gammaproteobacteria; Oceanospirillales; Halomonadaceae
Description: partial 16S ribosomal RNA
Rfam family: Bacterial small subunit ribosomal RNA
Source: RNAcentral
CCUACGGGGGGCUGCAGUGGGGAAUAUUGGACAAUGGGGGGAACCCUGAUCCAGCCAUGCCGCGUGUGUGAAGAAGGCCCUCGGGGUGUAAAGCACUUUCAGUGAGGAAGAACGCCUGGUGGUUAAUACCCAUCAGGAAAGACAUCACUCACAGAAGAAGCACCGGCUAACUCCGUGCCAGCAGCCGCGGUAAUACGGAGGGUGCGAGCGUUAAUCGGAAUUACUGGGCGUAAAGCGCGCGUAGGUGGCUUGAUAAGCCGGUUGUGAAAGCCCCGGACUCAACCUGGGAACGGCAUCCGGAACUGUCAAGCUAGAGUGCAGGAGAGGAAGGUAGAAUUCCCGGUGUAGCGGUGAAAUGCGUAGAGAUCGGGAGGAAUACCAGUGGCGAAGGCGGCCUUCUGGACUGACACUGACACUGAGGUGCGAAAGCGUGGGUAGCAAACAGGAUUAGAUACCCCAGUAGUC